RNAcentral lists this ribosomal RNA (110 nucleotides) under Cladosporium arthropodii. Its description in RNAcentral is "partial 18S ribosomal RNA". It matches the Rfam family "Eukaryotic small subunit ribosomal RNA", at positions 1723 to 1831 of the family's 1831-position model. RNAcentral also lists the same sequence under 1 other name. The record is from RNAcentral. Lineage: Eukaryota; Fungi; Ascomycota; Dothideomycetes; Cladosporiales; Cladosporiaceae.
GGAGGUCGGCAACGACCACCCAGGGCCGGAAAGUUGGUCAAACCCGGUCAUUUAGAGGAAGUAAAAGUCGUAACAAGGUCUCCGUAGGUGAACCUGCGGAGGGAUCAUUA